GGUACUCUGACCGUGCAAAGGUAGCAUAAUCAUUUGCCUUAUAAUUGAAGGCUGGAAUGAAUGGUUUGACAAGAAUACACCUGUCUCUUCAUGAUUACUUAGAAUUUUAUUUCUAGAUGAAAAAGUCUAGAUAUUAUUAAAAGACAAGAAGACCCUAUCGAGCUUGAGAAAAAUUAACAGGCAUAUUAGAACUCAAUAUUAGUAAAAGAAAAGCUGUUAAACACUUUGGUUGGGGCAACCUGGGAGUAAGCAAAGCCUCCUAAUUAUAACAAGUCGGACCUGCGUUGAUCCAGUUGUAUUGAUCAAAGGAAUUAGUUACCGUAGGGAUAACAGAUUAUCUUUUUCAAGAGCCCAUAUCGAAAAAAAGGUUUGUGACCUCGAUGUUGGACCAGAAUGUCCUAAAGAU
This 406-nucleotide ribosomal RNA is filed under the name Conus mustelinus. RNAcentral's name for it is "partial 16S ribosomal RNA". It matches the Rfam family "Bacterial large subunit ribosomal RNA", at positions 1935 to 2554 of the family's 2925-position model. The record is from RNAcentral. Lineage: Eukaryota; Metazoa; Mollusca; Gastropoda; Neogastropoda; Conidae.